Long non-coding RNA from Mus musculus (house mouse), 1672 nucleotides. RefSeq annotates it as RIKEN cDNA 4930542N06 gene. The transcript is spliced from 2 exons. The record is from RefSeq and is marked validated. NCBI's taxonomy places the organism in Eukaryota, Metazoa, Chordata, Mammalia, Rodentia, Muridae.
GACUAAGUUCGCGCGCGGAGGAGGAGCGGAGCGCGCGGGCUGCGCAGGCUGCGCAGGCGGGAGCCGGGGACGCGCAGCGCCGCCUCCGAGCCGCCCUUACCCGGAUCGCUCCGCCACCCGGCCCGAGAGUCCACCCGGCCUUGGGACGAACCGCGGGGGCCGGUGACUCACCCUCCUGCUGCACACAAAGCGCAGCUGCCACCUCCCGGAGCCAACGCCAUGCGGCCGCCCGGAUGCACUCGCCCAGCCUGGCAUCCGCGGUGCAUGGCAGCCACACGCCUCGCCAGGAGCUGGGGCUGCAUUCCAGAAACCCAGGAGCCGGGCCUUAUGGCCGUUCCCCAGGCGCUCCACCCCAGCAGAAGACCCCUGCCUUCUCACGUGUGCACCCCUGAGAAACUUGUUAUUGACACAACUUACUCUACCAGGAAGGGUGGGGUGUGCCGCGCAGAGCCUGCCUUAGUGAAGUCCCUUUAACGCUCUUUAAGUCGAGUGACUGGAAAGGUUGUAGGGCCCCUGGGAAGGAGGAGAAACUAAGCAGCUUCUGGGCCUCCAAUACCAUCUUUUUCUUUCCAGUGUCUUUAUCUUCAGCGUGAGGUGACAAGAUAGAGGGAGUACACAUAAUAGUAUUUCAUUGAGGAUGGUCACCUGUCCCCCAUCCACAUUCUUCUCCUGUUAAUGGCCCUGUAUUUGAAGAGUAACAGUGUGCCUUGCAAGUUAAGCAAAAAUUUAAUCCAAAUUCAGAACUCUGGGCUAUUUAAUAGUUCUAUCCUCCUCCUCGAAUCUUUAACUCCCCCACACCCUCCCUGUUCUGUUUUAAGCUCAGUCUUUGUCCAGGUUAUUUCUAGCACAAGGAUUCAAUUCAGCAAGAUUUGUAUCUCUUAGUUGCUAUGGUGUUCCCAUCCCUAGGUAACAAAACACUCCCAGAGGAGUAAAAGAAGACAGCAUUUGAGUCACCUGAUCAGUUGGGCACCCAAUACCUCCACACACUACGAAGGUGUGGAAGACUGCGCUGUAUCCAGUAGCGACCAGUCAUAUCAGAACUCCAGCCCGAACUGCCCUGGAAGUCACUGCUAUACCCGGUCCUUGUCCAAUUCACUCUGAGUGGCAGUUGCAUUGAGUCUGAAGCAAACAUUGAAAACACUGUGAGGACUAACGGCUCCACAGCUAAGAGCACAGACUGUUCUUGCAGAAGACCAGAAUUCUGUUCACAGCUGCCGACAACUCCAGCUCCAAACGUUCUGACACCCUCUUCUGGCCUCCAAAGGCAUCCACACAUAUAUGCACCUACAUAUAUGUGCUCCCACACACAUGUGCACCUACAUAUAUGUGCUCCCCCGCACACGUGCACCCACAUACGUGGCACACACACUGCACACACACACAUCUUUUUUUUUUAAUUCUUUCAUUUGAACAUACAACAUAUUGUCAUUAAAUUGUGUGUAUGACCUUGUGUACACAUUUGUAAUUCUAGAUGCUCCAGGUGCAUCAUGGCCUCAGCUGCUCUCAAAUCUGAAACCUGGCACAUCAGCAUCAUCUUGGCCCUUAAAGAACAUAUUUGGUGUCUUCCUCUUGCUUAUCUGCUCUGGACGUCAUCUUAAAAUGGUGGUUCAUCUUCUCGGCUCUUCAGACAAGCUGUAGAUUAGAGAAGCCAAAAUAAAAUGAUCUAAUUUUC